UACAGAGGUCCCAAGCGUUGUUCGGAUUCAUUGGGCGUAAAGGGUGCGUAGGCGGCGCGGUAAGUCGGGUGUGAAAUCUCGGGGCUUAACUCCGAAACUGCAUUCGAUACUGCCGUGCUUGAGGACUGGAGAGGAGACUGGAAUUUACGGUGUAGCGGUGAAAUGCGUAGAUAUCAGGAGGAACACCGGUGGCGAAGGCGGCUCUCUGGACGGUGACUGACGCUGAGACGCGAAAGCGUGGGGAGCAAACAGG
This 253-nucleotide ribosomal RNA is filed under the name uncultured bacterium. RNAcentral's name for it is "partial 16S ribosomal RNA". It matches the Rfam family "Bacterial small subunit ribosomal RNA", at positions 524 to 776 of the family's 1533-position model. The record is from RNAcentral.